Molecule: long non-coding RNA, 2827 nt
Organism: Rhagoletis zephyria (snowberry fruit fly)
Lineage: Eukaryota; Metazoa; Arthropoda; Insecta; Diptera; Tephritidae
Source: RefSeq, a predicted model, not a curated record
CUAAUUACUAGCAUUGUUGUAGUCGAGGUGACUUAAGCUCAGUCCAAAAGUGCCUAGUAAUUGCUCAGUUAAAGCUUAAAACAUACAUACAUGCAAGCAUAUAUAGUUAUUAAAUUGGAAAUUCUAAAGGUUUAUAUCAACGUUUUUAUAUGUACAUAAAUAUACCUAUUAUAAAAGCUUCUGUAUGCAAGACUUGCGGACGCACCAGAUAUUGUAAUGCCGUUAUCUAAUUACUUAUUGAAUAGCACAACAAAAGAUAAACAAAACAUUAGUGAAAGUCUUUGUUAUAAAUAUGUAUGUAUUUGUAGUUACAGUGUUUCCCGCUUAUAACCUCUAAAAUAUUUAAAGAAAAUUUCCCCUUUUUAGGUAAGAUAUAUAGAUAAAUUAAAGAGGCAUACACCGCGACCUAGUGGGUCUAUUGUGCCCUCAACUCAUCACAACACAUCUCUAAUUUCCAAAGAUUCCAGGAAACUAAUUAAAAUCAGAUUCGCAGCUUAGUAGUCGUCGUCUUAAUUUGCAGUGUCCAGUGAGGGGAGGUUAGUUAAAAGUUUGUAUAUUUUUAAAUUGUACCCAAAAGCAGAGAAAAAUUUGUCAUCUUCUUUUUUAAUUGUAAAAUUAUCUUAUGAACCAGUUGUACAGGUUAGCUGCUCAUCUGAACGUUUUUUCCAAAACUCGCUACAUCAAAAACAACAACAUUGAAAUUGCAAACAAUUGUAAUUUUUUAAAACAUACAUUGCUCAUAACGGUUUCAAUAUAUCCAAAAGCUAUCAGGUAAAUAGUUCUGAAAAAACAAGGGUUGUCUACAUAUUUUAAGACAACGAUAUAAGCAUGGGCGUAGCCAGGUAGGGGUGGGAGGGGCUCGACUCACAAGUUUUCCCUACGAAUAUAAAAAAAUAUUUUAUUUGAAGACGCUAAGUCGUCCUUAUUUUUUGUACCAGACUCAAAUUUUAAUUUCUUUGAAAUUGUAUCGGUUUUCUAGGGCAAAUCAAAGAUUAAUAUGCAUCAGUUGAGGAAAACCCGUAUGUCGAUUCUCAAGUUUUUUGAAUCAAUUUACGAAUCGAUGUUCAUUAUUGAUUUGUUCAAGUUUUUUGAAUCGAUUCACGAAUUGAAACUAAAAAUCGGCAAAAAGUCGUAACGGACGGGCUCGAUUAAUCGAUUUUCGAUGUAAUGGAUUUAAAAAUAUUCAACGGGUUUGCAUUUCCCUGGAAAUAAUUCUGACUUGGGUCUUUCCUCAAAGCAAGCAUGUGAAUCUAUUCAUCAGAAGCUUUGGGGCACUUGGGAAAGUUUUAAUGGCGUUUUCGUUUCUACAAAAAAAUGUUACCUUCUCUUUGCCUGUACGCACAAAUACUAAGAAGACGGAAAUGAGAAGGCAACAUUUUUUGUAGAAACGAAAGCGCCAUAAGAUUAAUUACAUGAAUCGUCGGUCUUACUUAAAAAGUGUAGAAUAUUGUUACACAAUUUUCAUCACUGGAUAUUUAAAUAAUUAAAUUAAUGUUGAUAUCUAAUGAUAUCUCAAUUUGUUCCUAUUUUAAAUGAAAAUGUAUUAUUUGGCAGUAGUCGUUCGUGACGGUUCAGUUACACAUAGACCAAUCGGAAACCACAUCUCGUGCAUUUUAGAUGAUGCAUAUAUCCGGGAAAUACUGUACUAACUUCAUUCCAUUGAGCCUAGUGCCUUCGCUGUCGAUUGGCGCGAGAUAACGACUGAGGAAUUUAUAUCGCGUCUCGCCUUAGAGCGCGGUUAUCCACGAACGUAUACGUAGCGUAGCGUAGAAGUACGGAGAAAGAUAACAAGUGUGCUGUUGAUAGAAAGAGAGGUGGUGAUUUUUUGUUAACACGCAGAUCCCAAAAGAUAGAUCGUGUCAGCUGACGCGCUCUCCGUUUUUACGUUCGUGGGUUACUGCGCGUCCCUAGCCACCCAAAUUUGUUAACAUCGAAAAUUUUUUACGUGCACAAAGCUUCUUUUUUUUUUGUUAAGAAUGUGUAUUGGUAGCUCUAGUAAACGCACCGUUCAAAAACGUGUAAUGGUCAUUAUGGUGACACUGAAACAUGAUCCCAUCCGACAAAAAAAAAAAAACUGUAAGCCUGUUCGAACUUGGAUAUAUGUAUCCGAACAUUGAGGGCAAUGAAGGAACUGACAAAUAGGCGAAGGUGAAUGAAUCCGGAGCAAUGGAAUUGGGGUUGUUCUCUAGGGAUUAGUAUAGAAACAGAAAUAAAAUUCCAAUUCCUUUGAUUGGUUAGAAAUCGUAGGACGAAAUCUCGAUUCUAGUUCAUAGACUUAUAAAAAAUUAUACUAAACUGAUCAGAGCAACGAGCUGAGUAUCUUAAUUUUAGAGAUAUCCGACUAAAAGUUAUAAACAAAAACACUGCCCGAAUGUAUGUGGACCACAAAUCGAGCCUGGGUUCUACCAAUUGGUAGAGCGGACCUUUAACCACUCGGCAAAGCAGGCCGUGCAUAUCUUAUUAUGACUUAUUAAAGAAAAGUAAAAAAAUGUUAAUUCCAAUUCUAAUCCGUUUCUGAACUCGCCGCAAUCAAUUACCAAAUAACUUACUUUUCCUCUAGUGAAUUCAUUUGCUAGGUCUGGAAAAGUUUGAAUGUAAUUACAAAAUACUCGUAUGAAAGGAGCAUAAAUAACUGUCCAGUAUAUUGCUGGGAGAAUUUCGAAGAUAUGUCUCUUCUGCAUAAGAGCUUCAGUUUCUCCAACCCCAUUCUUAUAAAUUUUUUUUUUACUGUAUUAAGUCUUGUUGUUUAUUUCUCGCAGGGUGUGUAUUAUCUUUAUUUUAAAUAUAAUAAAAAAAACGUAUUAAAUCCACACUUUUUACUGGCUUC